RNAcentral lists this ribosomal RNA (408 nucleotides) under bacterium enrichment culture clone ALO1_GLFRUDD03G60WG. Its description in RNAcentral is "bacterial SSU rRNA". It matches the Rfam family "Bacterial small subunit ribosomal RNA", at positions 9 to 418 of the family's 1533-position model. The record is from RNAcentral. RNAcentral also lists the same sequence under 1 other name.
GAGUUUGAUCUUGGCUCAGAUUGAACGCUGGCGGCAUGCCUUACACAUGCAAGUCGAACGGCAGCACGGGAGCUUGCUCCUGGUGGCGAGUGGCGAACGGGUGAGUAAUGCAUCGGAACGUAUCCUGGAGUGGGGGAUAACGUAGCGAAAGUUACGCUAAUACCGCAUAUUCUGUGAGCAGGAAAGCGGGGGACCUUCGGGCCUCGCGCUCUUGGAGCGGCCGAUGUCGGAUUAGCUAGUUGGUGAGGUAAAGGCUCACCAAGGCGACGAUCCGUAGCAGGUCUGAGAGGAUGAUCUGCCACACUGGAACUGAGACACGGUCCAGACUCCUACGGGAGGCAGCAGUGGGAAUUUUGGACAAUGGGGGCAACCCUGAUCCAGCCAUGCCGCGUGAGUGAAGAAGGCCUU